CUAGCUUCAGUAUUAACCUGGUGAGGGGCAAACCUAGAAAGCUCCAAAAACUUCGACAAAUAUUCUGACACAGACAUUCCUUCUUGCUUCAAUCCUAAAAACUUCAUCUCCAUUUCAUUUUUCAUACACGUAGGAAAAUAUUUAUCAAAGAACAACUCCUUAAACCUCGUCCAAGUCAUUGUUGAACAAUCUUCCGUCUGUUUAACAGUGUCCC
RNAcentral lists this long non-coding RNA (214 nucleotides) under Daucus carota (carrot). Its description in RNAcentral is "long non-coding RNA (DCAR_LNC007538)". The record is from RNAcentral. Lineage: Eukaryota; Viridiplantae; Streptophyta; Magnoliopsida; Apiales; Apiaceae.